UACUCUACCUCAGGUGAGCAAUACCUCGAGACUUCUUUAACUGGCUACUCAAUACUGCCCCUUGCAGCCAUAAGAAGUUAAAGUGUAUGUGCGAGUUUACUCUUUCAAAAAGGUAAUACACUUUGUAGCUAACAUUGGUUGCUCAGAACCUCAUCACACUCCAGUACAUUACACCUUCUUAGUUACAAUUCCAUAACCCAUAAUAAAAAAGAACAUUCAUACUGUAUAUGAAGCACAGGCAGUCUUACCCUAGGUUGACCCUCUCUGUGUCCUUAGGCAGAUUGUGUGGGGUGGAGGUGAGGUGGCUGAAGGUGCAGUGCACCUCCCUGACCCCAGGCCAGCUGCAGCCCCUGAGUCAUGGGGCACACAGGGCCAAGGGGGAGAUGACCAGAAGCAGCAGCAGCACUGCCCUCAGCCAGGAAGCCAGGACAGUGACACUCAACAGCUAUUGCAGUCCUCUCAUGCCAUCAUCAGACCAGGGACAACAUUAAGCCACAGGAGGGAAGGAAAUCCUGACGGACCAGGGCACCGCGUUCAUGUCUCGUGUGAUGAAAGAUGUCUGCAAUCUGUUACGAAUCAAACAGGUGAUGACCAGUGUGUACCAUCUACAAACGGACGGGCUGGUGGAAUGCUUCAAUAAGACCCUAAAACAGAUGCUGAGGAAGGUCAUCGAGAGAGACAGGAGGAACUGGGACCAGCUGCUGCCCCACCUGAUGUUUUCAGUGCGCGAGGUACCCUAAGCAUCCACAGGGUUCUCCCCCUUUGAGCUCCUGUAUGGCCGUCGGCCCUGCGGGUUGCUGGACCUAGCCAAGGAGGUCUGGGAAGAGCAGCCGACCCCCGCUUCGCAGCGUAGUAGAACAUGUGGAGGAGAUGAGGGAGAAGACGACGGCGAUUUGGCCAGUGGUGAGAGAUCACAUGGCCCAGGCGCAACGUGCCUAGGAGCGUGUCUACAACCGGGGGGCCCAACCACGAGAGUUCCAACCCGUUGAGAAGGUCUUGGUGCUGAUCCCUACAACGGAGAGUAAAUUCCUGGCUACAUGGAAUAAGCCCUACGACAUUGUUGAGCGGGUAGGCAAUGUCAACUAUAAGGUCCGCCAACCGGGGAGGAGAAAACCCCUCCAGCUUUACAAUGUGAACUUACUGAAGAAUUGGCAUGCACACAAGGCGCUGUGCGUAACUUGGACCCUGCCACAGCAUGGCCCGCCCUCGGUCGAAGUUGCAAUGGGGCAAAAUCUCAGCCCAACCCAACGACAAGAGCUCAGAGAGUUAGUCCAGCGGAAUACGACCGUGUUCUCCGAGGUGCCGGGGUGCACGGAUCUCGUGGAACAUAGGCCAAAUAAAAGGAGCACGGUGGCACACCGCAGGAGAGAAGGGGGAGAGACCGACACCAAGCAAAACUAGAGAAGGACAGAGCGAAGCCUAAGUGAUUUUCUUUGUUAUAUUUAUUUUCUGUUUUAGUAAAGUUGUUUUUGCGGACUAAAGACUCCCUGUCUCUGUGUCAAUCUCUGCACGCUCAACCCAACACCCCACAGUUUACCACGAUAUUGUGGCAGACCAGGAGGUUUGGGCAAGACGUUUACACAGAUCAGACACGGACAGAGUAGGAUUUGCUCGGUUUCAAGGGUGUUUAUUUCAAUAACAGUCAAAAAGAAAAGGUCUCCCCAUGAGACCCUCUCUGGGAUACCGUCUUCUGGGCUCCGGGUCUUGCUGUAUCCAGUUGGGAUCAAAACUGCACUCACUCCUGUUAUCUCUGUAACCAUCCCCAACUAUACGGGAGUCCUUUCUUCCCCCACUCUCCCUGUGUGCUGCCCUUCUGGCAGCUUCAUGGGCCUUGCACAGCUGGUGAGCAAUCAGCCCUUGAUUACUCACCAACUCCCAAUUAGUCCUGGCCAGAGAACCCAUCGAGACCUAGCACGUCCAGCAGAUGGAACCAUGGCCUUGUGAUGUAUACACCGUCUGUCACCAGACCUCAACAAGUCUCCCCCUCUUGACUGACCUGCUGUACGCCACAAUAUAUAUAUAUAUAUUUAUGUGGAAUGUAGUAGAGUACUUUAAAAAAAUUGUUACGUAAUUUAUACGACUGGACUUGAAAAGAACACCUCAGUUGACUCGACUAACCGGUGCCCCUGCACAUUGACUCUGUACUGGUACCCGUGUAUAUAGCCUCGCUAUUGUUAUUUUUCUGCUGCUCUUUAAUUAUUUGUUACUUUUAUUUCUUAUUUUUUUCACUGAGCACAUAUUUUUCUUAAAACUGUUGGUUAAGGGCUUGUAAGUAAGCAUUUCACUGUAAGGUUGUAUUUGGCACAUGUGACAAAUACGAUUUGAUUCAUUACACUUUUAAUCAAUUUGAACCUUGUGUAACAUUGAAACUGUGCUGACACCUAGUGGACAUUAAGAGAAACUGCAACCCACACACACACAAUAACCUUAAAACAGAUGGACGCUUUACAUACAUUGCUUUUUUUAUUAGACACUACUAUAUAUGUCCAAUAAAGAGACAUUCAAAAGUUGGAAUGUAAAGCACAAACGACUGGAAAGUUUUUUAAAAGCAGCUGUAGUGAGUCAAGCAUCUUGAGGUUACCUGACAUAGGUCAAAGCAUAUAUUAAAUUGAACUCAACAACAUCUUCAACACAGACACAAGUUACCUGCUAUAUUUGGGCAACAGGAUUAACACUUAGCAAAAUACAAUCUAUGUUUCUGUAAUACAAGUAGGCUGGUGUAUACAGUAUCAUUGGUAACAAUUGUGUACAAGCCACCUAGAUAAUAAAAUAUUGGAGCUAGCAGUCAUUUGUUAAGUUACAUGUUAACCAUAGCGAUCGCCUAAUUGAGGCGCAGUAGAGUUCACCGGCGAAUCCCGACACACACCGGAAUAAAUAACUAAAACAACCAACGAGAAAUGAUGGAAGAUACCAGAAUGAAGACAGACAUUUUUCGGAAUAAACGUGGUCAGUGAAAAACUAAAUUACAUAGCACACUCCCUACCUGGUAUCUUAUUCUGCCGCUAUACAACUUUGUAUGCGUUGUUUGUUGGCAACCUUGUUAUUUACUAAAUUUUUGGAAAAGUUUCCUCUUGGAACGUUCCACAAAUUAUACCCACCCGUUUUGCUGAGCAGCUAGAAUACAGUACAAAAGAUUGUCAGAGUAUUUGGUUUGAAGUCGGAACAGAACAUCUUACAGGCGACCUACCACGAGUGCUUUUCAUUUUUUCCCCCUGAACCAUGCAGGUGGAAUUUGCAUAGAAUUCUGUUGUUGCGACUUUUUUUUAUAUGAAAACAUACACUCCUGAGUCUUCACCUGUCACACCCUGAUCUGUUUUACCUGUCUUGUGCUUGUCUCCAACUCCCCACCAGGUGUCUCCCAUUUGUCCCCAUUAUCACCUGUGUAUUUAUACCUGCGUUUUCUGUCAUCUUGUCCCAUCAAGUUCUACCAGCGUGUUUUCCCAUUUAUGACUUUCUAUGGUUGCUGUUUUCUAGUCCUCCCAGGUUCUGACCAUUCUGCCUGCCCUGACCCUGCCUUCGGUUCUGUACCUUUCUGACACUGCCCUGGAUUACUGACCUCUGCCUGCCCUUGACCUGUCGUUUGCCUGCCCCGUUUUGUAAAUCAAUAUCUGUGAUUCGAACUGUCUGCAUCUGGGUCUUAUCCUGAUAUCACCUGUACACUUACUGUAUAUUUAUUUUAUGUUUUUGUUUCCAUAGCAUUUGCUUUUAUGGUUAAUAUGCAUUUUGUUUUUUUAUAAGCUGUUUUAUCAGCUAAAGCUGACAUCUUUUGAGAAACUAUCCCAAUGGUAAUGCCAGUACAUAUGUUUUUGUCACUCCUGCUCCCGCUCCCCCUCUCUGACGCUCGAGGGCGCAAGGCUGCACACCUGUCACCAUCAUUAUGCGGAUCAGGGCUUCAUUGGACUUACCUGGACUCCCUCACUUUAUUGAAUAUCUCCCCUAUAUCUGUCUAUUCCUGAGUUUGAUCCCGUGUCAGCAUUAAUGUCAUUUUGUUUCCCCUGUCCAGACACUGUUCAUGUUUUGUUUCAUGUCUGUUAUUUAUUAAAUGUUCACUCCCUGUA
Molecule: long non-coding RNA, 4058 nt
Organism: Salvelinus fontinalis (brook trout)
Lineage: Eukaryota; Metazoa; Chordata; Actinopteri; Salmoniformes; Salmonidae
Exons: 2
Source: RefSeq, a predicted model, not a curated record